Molecule: transfer RNA, 73 nt
Filed under: Zygosaccharomyces bailii CLIB 213
Lineage: Eukaryota; Fungi; Ascomycota; Saccharomycetes; Saccharomycetales; Saccharomycetaceae
Description: tRNA-His (GTG) (tRNA-His-GTG-3-1)
Rfam family: tRNA
About the family: Transfer RNA (tRNA) molecules are approximately 80 nucleotides in length. Their secondary structure includes four short double-helical elements and three loops (D, anti-codon, and T loops).
Source: RNAcentral
GCCAUUCUAGUAUAGUGGUUAGUACAGCUCGUUGUGGCCGAGCAGACCCANNGUUCGAUUCCUGGGAAUGGCA